GUUUAGUUAGUUAAAAAAAAAAAAGGGGACCAGCAACUAAGCUUCUCUUUUUCAAGAACGAAAAAAGUACAGCAAGUAUUUAAGAAUUCAAUGGUUCAUUCAUUUCAACUAAGCAAAGAGAGAAAAUUUCUUUUGGACAAAAAAUGAGGCUCUCGGCCAUGGCUGCUUAGCCGAGACUUGGUAUGAUCAUGGAGAAGUAUUAAAGUGUCAAGUUGUGGUGAAGAUUCAAGUAGUUAGCAAGAUUAAGAAGUCAAGUGUAUGAAGGUAAAAUUUGAUCUUCUUUUUACACGUUUAGGAGGAUUUUAAACUUGUUUAAUUUGAUAAAGGUGUGUUGAUAUGAAUAUAAAUUGAAUCCAUGAAAUUAUGUGUGUUGAUGUUGAAGCAUGGUUGAAGCCGUGUAGAGACUGUUUGGUGUAGAAGGUGAUUAUCUACCUAAUAAAUACGUUAUGUACAAAUAUACAUAUAUUAUGUGCACGUGUGCAGCAAGUAAAUUCCCAUUCCAUGCACUUAUGGGUGAGGUGGAAAUAUAAGUGAUGAAUUGCUAAGGGGAAGCUAGGGUGGUGGCACGUGUAUAAAGGGUUGGACCCCCACAGCCCAUUUCACAAGAGACAUACAUAUAUACGGAGUGUGCAGCAUGUUUGUGAAACAAACAUUUCACAAGAAAAUCAGCAAACGCAUAUAUAUAUGCAUAGACACGAUCUGCCAUGGAUAAACAAAAUUCACAUGCGGAAGCAAAUUAUGGGGGAGACGACAUAUAGGUCAUAAACACGCCAGUUUCCUCCGGAUGAUAGCAAAUUAGAGAUUUCUUCAAAGUGAAGUAAGGUGGAAGAAGAUUAUUUCUUGGUAUAUAAGGUUUAUCAUAUUAAUUGUGGAAGUUCUUGGAUGGACUGAGCUCUUGAACGACGUGAGGUAUGUAAAGUUGUCCCUUCUUUCUUUUGGCAUGUCCUAGACGUAAGGGAUGAAUGACAUGAGCUUUGGGGUAAUUCCAUUCAUAAGUUCCGAAUAUGAUUCAUGAUUCUUAUUACUUCUUGAUGUUAGAGCUUUUAAAGUAGUUAAGCCACUGCCCUCGAGAUUUCUAUAUGUUGUAUAGUAUAAUCGUAUGUAUAAGUCUUUAUUCCUAAAGGCUCUAUAAUGACUAAUGUCCUUAACUUUCAUAAGCUGUCUCGUAUUGAUUUGAUACCUGUCUAUGAUCCCUGAGACGUUAUUUAAUAUAGUUCAUAAUGAUAUUCAAAGAGCCACUAGGAUGGCUAAUGUUCUUGAUUUCCAGAAACUAUUUUAUUAUGUCUUGAUACGUGUAUAUAAUCCUUGAGGUUCUAUUUUUAUAUAAUCCACAGCGACAUUCAAAAGGUAUUUGAUAUGACUAUUGUCUUGGUUUUCAAAUGAUGAUUCGUUUUGAUUAUUCUAUUGAGUCUCAGAUAUGAUUUAAUUUGCAUAUGGUUUCUCACUACUCUGCUCGUGCAUGCCUCAAUACAUCUUUCACUGAGUCCCGGGCCAGGACAUGUUUUCGUGCACAGAUCCACUGCAUUAUUCACUGAGUCCCUCACUAGAGGGCCGGGACACGUUAUAUAUAUGUAUAUGAUGAUAUGAUGACGUGAUGAUAUGAUGAUAUGGGGAUGGCGGCCAGGAUGGCACAUGAUGAUCUUAUUCACCGAGUCCCUCACUAGAGGGCCGGGACACGUUAUAUAUAUAUAUACAUGAUGAUGAUAUGAUUUUAUUUACCGAGUCCCUCACUAGAGGGCCGGGACACGUUAUACAUAUGCAUAUGAACGGGAUGAUUCUCUAAUGGUGACAUUAAGUUUCAUAACGAGUUAAGUCUGAUAUUGACACCCUGAUUUAUGAUUCAAAGGUAAGCCUUGUGGUUUUUUGGUUAUUGUACUGGUUUUCUGUACUCCUCGCCUCAGUAUGAUCCUGUUUAUUGUAUUUAUGCUUUACAUGCUCAGUACAUAUUCCGUACUGACCCCCUUUCUUCGGGGGGCUGCGUUCAUGCCCGCAGGUACAGAUGCUCACGUUGGUAACCCGCCAGCUUAGGAGUCCUAUUCAGCUAUCUUGGAGAGCUCCCUUGUUCCGGAGCCUAGAUUUUGGUACAAAAUAUCUUGUGGUGUAUAUGUAUUUUAUCCAGGGGUACGGCGGGGCCCUGUCCCGUCAUAUGAUACUGUUGUUACUCUUAGAGGUCUGUAGACAUAUGUGUGGGUUGUGUAUGGGUUUUGUUCAGCUGUGUCUAUAUGAUGACGCUGUGAAACUUCAGAGUUCUUUUGUAAAGUUCCAUAUUGUUCGUAGUUUCAGUUUGAUUAUAUAUGAUAGGUAUGUAUACGGGUGUCCAGGUCGGGCACCAGUCACGGCCUACGAGAUUAGGUCGUGACACAUAAGAUGAUAAUAUAAUUGAACCAAUAUGAGGGUUAUAGGAAGUGUUUUGAAAACUAAUCAAGUCAUAAGAAAUGUUUUUGGGCAAAGCAAAGUUGGAAGCCACUCUACGGGGCAUGUUUGCAAGUGAGUUUGUAGAAGGUCUUACUUCUAACGACCAUAACCCCUUUAUUAAUUAGGAUUUGGGAAAACUUCCUAAAUGAAAUUGUAACCCUUUGAAAUACCUUUCCAACAGUAUAUUAUGGGGGUCAAGGGGACAU
Lycium barbarum (goji berry) is the source of this 2621-nucleotide long non-coding RNA. RefSeq lists it as uncharacterized. The transcript has 3 exons. The record is from RefSeq and is a predicted model, not a curated record. NCBI's taxonomy places the organism in Eukaryota, Viridiplantae, Streptophyta, Magnoliopsida, Solanales, Solanaceae.